Molecule: long non-coding RNA, 413 nt
Filed under: Eucalyptus grandis
Lineage: Eukaryota; Viridiplantae; Streptophyta; Magnoliopsida; Myrtales; Myrtaceae
Description: long non-coding RNA (EGRA_LNC000545)
Source: RNAcentral
CGGAGGUUGGGUCGCCGGCGUUCAGAGCUCCGGCGAGGACCGGCAAUGGGUAGAUCGGUAGCGAGCAGUCUGGCGGCAGCAGCAGGUCGCGGGUGGCGUCGGGACGAGCUCGCGGGUGCAGAGGGAUUCCGGCGGCGUGGUGGGCGGAUCGCGGACAGGGCAAGGGAAGCAGCGUCGUCGCGGAUCAGCUCGGCGGUGGCUUCGUCGGGUUAGUGGAGCGGUUCAGCAGCAGCGUCGGAAUCGUGGGUCGGCGCGGGGCAGUGAAGAUUGACUCCGGCAAGGGACUUCGGCGAAACAGGGCACCGGCGAGGGGGGUGUCGCAGGGCGCGGGGCCUGCUGUCGGGCACCGAGGAGACGCGAGCAACAACGAUGUGGGCUCUGGCGGCGUUGGGUCGCGGCAGGAAUAGCGGCAC